RNAcentral lists this ribosomal RNA (396 nucleotides) under uncultured bacterium. Its description in RNAcentral is "bacterial SSU rRNA". It matches the Rfam family "Bacterial small subunit ribosomal RNA", at positions 30 to 423 of the family's 1533-position model. The record is from RNAcentral.
AUUGAACGCUGGCGGAAUGCUUUACACAUGCAAGUCGAACGGCAGCACGGGUGCUUGCACCUGGUGGCGAGUGGCGAACGGGUGAGUAAUGCGUCGGAACGUGCCGAGUAAUGGGGGAUAACGCAGCGAAAGUUGUGCUAAUACCGCAUACGCCCUGAGGGGGAAAGUGGGGAUCGCAAGACCUCACGUUAUUCGAGCGGCCGACGUCUGAUUAGCUAGUUGGUGGGGUAAAGGCCUACCAAGGCGACGAUCAGUAGCGGGUCUGAGAGGAUGAUCCGCCACACUGGGACUGAGACACGGCCCAGACUCCUACGGGAGGCAGCAGUGGGGAAUUUUGGACAAUGGGAGCAACCCUGAUCCAGCCACUUCCGCGUGAGUGAAGAAGGACCGUCGGUU